Molecule: long non-coding RNA, 1687 nt
Filed under: Homo sapiens (human)
Lineage: Eukaryota; Metazoa; Chordata; Mammalia; Primates; Hominidae
Description: HSALNT0138843
Source: RNAcentral
CAAAUGCAUUACCUCACAUAGUUAUCAUUUUUGUGAGGGGAAUACUUAAUAUCCACCCUCUUGGCAUUUUUUAAAAGUACAAUACCUUGUCCUUAAGUAUGGCCUUCAUGUUGUACAAUAGAUCUCUUGAACUUAUUUUGUUACCCAUUCUUAUUUGCAGCACUAGAUGAGAAAACCAGUUUUGUUCAAAGCACAAAAUUUUAGAAAUGAAUCAUUUUAUCUUCAGCCCCCUCCCCCAGUCUCCUACAUAGAUCCUAAAAAACAAACAAAAAAACGACUGGUAAAACUGGUAAAGGAAGGUAGGGUUUCUAAUAAGGCUUUUAAGUAUUUUCACACAAUACACUCGUUUUCUGUCUUUUUCCUUUCUCCUUUGGACACAUACAAUCCAAAAUGUGGUGUAGUCUCUGUGUAAUCUCAGUUCUCUUAUUUUUUCACAGUGGAAAGAUCCCGGUUGCCCAAUUGCAAGGGGCAGUGAGAGAGUACAUUGUAAAUUGUUUGUAGAUUUACUUUGUUUUCUUUAUGAAAAAAAGAGAGUAGGAAAUUGGGGAAUUUUAAAUAGUUCUUUUUUCCUUGUUUCUCACCGUUUUGUUUAAAGUUUUUCUUUCUUUCUUUUUCUUUUUCUUUUUUUUCCUGGCUUGAAAUACAGCUGAAAUAACUGAAUUUUCUACUUGAAACGUGUGUGCCUCUCCACUGAGGGGCCAAGGCCCUGGAAAUGUAAAGGGCCAAUCUUUGUUACAGAGGGGUUCAUUGCAGUGAAGGGCGGGUUCUGCAAAGACAAACAGGUCUCACAGAUAGUUGCCAAGGGCACCGAAUACAUCUUUGCAUUACACCUUGAACUAGCAUGCUCAUAUCACCUGUUUUUAUUGCAUGCACCAUAAAUGACUGUAAAAGUUUGCAAAUCUUGUAGAGACCUUGGCAAUCAAUACUUCAGCAGGAAAUCUACAAAGAGGGGAGUGGGAAGAGAAGGGAUCCAGCCUAGUAGUUUGCCUAUUUGUUACAAGAACCAUACCUUGACAUUGAGAAUUAUUAAGUAACGGAGUCUGGGAACAUUCCUGUGGCCUUCCUUAAACUGAACUUACUCUGGGUGCUUCUGAUCUGUGACUUGAGCGCAAAAUAAAGACUAAUUUUUAUCUGGGUCAAUGUGGGGCCAACUAGGGUGGCCGGUCCUGAAGGCCACGCCUGCAGCUUUAGUGUUUUUAAAUGUCUGACCACCAAACGGGUCAUGCAAGUGUAUGGACUUUUUUCUUUUCUUUUUAGAGUCUGCACAGUGAUGGUAGGACUGGGAGUACUAAUCAAUCCCUGUGCCAUGUUCAAUCGGUCUGUUCUACUGAUUUUUUUCUUGUUGUUCUUGUUUCACCGUGUUAAAUUUAAGUCUUUAAGAAGUGGACGCCCCGUGGAAAGCCCGACAAAUGAAACAGUAGAGGAGGGUACCAAAGUCCCGGGGUCCCAGUUGCAGUCCGCUAUUGCUCCAGGCCCAGCGGGGGCGGACCUCGUUGGAGGCUACGGUGCAGGUCGGAGAAGAUGAAAUGGCCUAGCAUCCCCCUUCCCAGGGGCUCGAGUCGGCAGCUUUAGAGCUCCGACAAUCUGUGCCCUCGCUUUGGGCUGCGCCAGGGAGCAAAAAACCUCUGCUUUUUUGAAAGAGGCCGGGGCAACAAGGUAGAGAGCCGCGGCCAGAAGCAGCCCCGGG